GACGUAGGCGGCGAGCGUUGUCCGGAUUUAUUGGCGUAAAGAGCUCGUAGGUCGGCUUGUUGCGUCAGACCGUGUCGAAAACCGCAGCUCAACUGAUGGGCUUGCAGCUGAUACGGGCAGGCUUGAGUUCGGUAGGGGAGACGUGGAAAUUCCUGGUGUAGCGGUGAAAGUGCGCCAGAGUAUCGAGGAGGAACACCGGUGGCGAAGGCGGGUCUCUGGGCCGAAUACGUGACGCUGGAGGAGCGAAAGCGUCGGGGAGCGAACAGG
RNAcentral lists this ribosomal RNA (267 nucleotides) under uncultured bacterium. RNAcentral describes it as "partial 16S ribosomal RNA". It matches the Rfam family "Bacterial small subunit ribosomal RNA", at positions 524 to 776 of the family's 1533-position model. The record is from RNAcentral.